UACGGAGGGUCCGAGCGUUAAUCGGAAUUACUGGGCGUAAAGCGCGCGUAGGCGGAUAAUUAAGUCAGAUGUGAAAGCCCUGGGCUCAACCUAGGAACGGCAUUUGAUACUGGUUAUCUAGAGUAUGGUAGAGGUGAGUGGAAUUUCAGGUGUAGCGGUGAAAUGCGUAGAGAUCUGAAGGAACAUCAGUGGCGAAGGCGACUCACUGGGCCAUUACUGACACUGAGGUGCGAAAGCGUGGGUAGCAAACAGG
RNAcentral lists this ribosomal RNA (253 nucleotides) under uncultured bacterium. Its description in RNAcentral is "partial 16S ribosomal RNA". It matches the Rfam family "Bacterial small subunit ribosomal RNA", at positions 524 to 776 of the family's 1533-position model. The record is from RNAcentral.